CCUACGGGUGGCAGCAGUGAGGAAUAUUGGUCAAUGGGCGCGAGCCUGAACCAGCCAAGUAGCGUGAAGGAUGACUGCCCUACGGGUUGUACACUUCUUUUAUAAAGGAAUAAAGUGAGGCACGUGUGCCUUUUUGUAUGUACUUUAUGAAUAAGGAUCGGCUAACUCCGUGCCAGCAGCCGCGGUAAUACGGAGGAUCCGAGCGUUAGCCGGAUUUAUUGGGUUUAAAGGGAGCGUAGAUGGGUUGUUAAGUCAGUUGUGAAAGUUUGCGGCUCAACCGUAAAAUUGCAAUUGAUACUGGCAGGCUUGAGUAGAGUUGAGGUAGGCGGAAUUCGUGGUGGAGCGGUGAAAUGCUUAGAUAUCACGAAGAACUCCGAGUGCGAAGGCAGCUUACUAAACUGCCACUGACAUUGAUGCUCGAAAGUGUGGGUAUCAAACAGGAUUAGAUACCCUUGUAGGC
RNAcentral lists this ribosomal RNA (460 nucleotides) under uncultured bacterium. RNAcentral's name for it is "partial 16S ribosomal RNA". It matches the Rfam family "Bacterial small subunit ribosomal RNA", at positions 338 to 795 of the family's 1533-position model. The record is from RNAcentral.